UUUUUUAUUUUAUUUUAUUUCAACUAUUAAAGAUAAAGCAAUCUGAAUAAAACAAGAUCUUUCACUUUGUUUAUUGCUUUUAUAUGAUAUCAAAAUGAACAAUACUUGAAUUUUUUGUGUGUUUGUGUCUUUUAUAGUUGAGAACAUAUGCAUGCAUGUCUAUGUGAUAAACGAGUCAGUAGGAAUGCUCUUUUGUAUUAAAGGACUACUUUUCUUUCAAUGAUCAAAAAGAUCAGGAUUCUUGUCUAGUAAUGGUUAUUUUGUAUUAGUAUUUUGUAUAAAUAAUAUUUUGUAUACCUUGUUGAUUUAUUGUUAUCAGAGGAUAUGUAUUAGGAGUGUGUCUUUAUCAUUAUAUGUGUAUCCUGCAUGACAACUUUACCUUAAGGUGCUGCUAAAGCAACAGGUAUAGUUUGAUAAAAGGAUAAUUCAAAUUCAGCCAAUCAAAAUCUUAGUUUUACUCAUUAUAACAUUCCUUUAUUCAUUUAUUUGUGGAUUGAGGACGCUUUUGUGGAUAUUUGAUUCCACAGCUUUGUCAAAGUCUUCAUACAAUAUUGCAAGCCUAUAGAAAAUAAGUUAUUCUUUGUAUUGUCAAAUUCAUGGUUCACCUGUACCAAUGAAAUUUAUGAAAAUCAGAUACCCCUCAAAUAAUGAUAAAUCCAAAGUCUGGAUUUUUCCAGAAAAUUACAAUUUUUGAAUUCAAUGACCAAAUGAUGGUAAUAAAAAUGUUUGCUGCAUAAACCACUAGUGUUGAUUGUUUGAGAAAUGUCGGAAACAAAUGAUAUUUUUAUACCUUUUGUAUUAUUUUGCUAUAUUUAAGAUCACCCUUAGUUCUGUGAGAUCUGAUUGUUUCAGGUGUAUGACUAUAAUUCACAUAAUUAUCAUUUCACUGUCUCAAAACCAGUGAUUUUGUCAUUUUACUGCAUGUAGUUAUGUUACAUUGUAUUUUGAAUGUUCUAUAAUUUAAUCAUGAACAAGUUAAUAGAUUAUAACUCCAAAUUUGAACAUUGCUUAAUAAUUAUGUAAACAUGACAAAAUU
Molecule: long non-coding RNA, 1036 nt
Filed under: Mytilus galloprovincialis (Mediterranean mussel)
Lineage: Eukaryota; Metazoa; Mollusca; Bivalvia; Mytilida; Mytilidae
Source: RNAcentral